GCGCCUAACACAUGCAAGUCGAACGAGAGAUGAGGAGCUUGCUCUUCAAAUCGAGUGGCGAACGGGUGAGUAACGCGUGAGGAACCUGCCUCAAAGAGGGGGACAACAGUUGGAAACGACUGCUAAUACCGCAUAAGCCCACGGCUCGGCAUCGAGCAGAGGGAAAAGGAGCAAUCCGCUUUGAGAUGGCCUCGCGUCCGAUUAGCUAGUUGGUGAGGUAACGGCCCACCAAGGCGACGAUCGGUAGCCGGACUGAGAGGUUGAACGGCCACAUUGGGACUGAGACACGGCCCAGACUCCUACGGGAGGCAGCAGUGGGGAAUAUUGCACAAUGGGGGAAACCCUGAUGCAGCGACGCCGCGUGGAGGAAGAAGGUCUUCGGAUUGUAAACUCCUGUUGUUGAGGAAGAUAAUGACGGUACUCAACAAGGAAGUGACGGCUAACUACGUGCCAGCAGCCGCGGUAAAACGUAGGUCACAAGCGUUGUCCGGAAUUACUGGGUGUAAAGGGAGCGCAGGCGGGAGAACAAGUUGGAAGUGAAAUCCAUGGGCUCAACCCAUGAACUGCUUUCAAAACUGUUUUUCUUGAGUAGUGCAGAGGUAGGCGGAAUUCCCGGUGUAGCGGUGGAAUGCGUAGAUAUCGGGAGGAACACCAGUGGCGAAGGCGGCCUACUGGGCACCAACUGACGCUGAGGCUCGAAAGUGUGGGUAGCAAACAGGAUUAGAUACCCUGGUAGUCCACACCGUAAACGAUGAUUACUAGGUGUUGGAGGAUUGACCCCUUCAGUGCCGCAGUUAACACAUAAGUAAUCCACCUGGGGAGUACGACCGCAA
This 833-nucleotide ribosomal RNA is filed under the name uncultured bacterium. Its description in RNAcentral is "bacterial SSU rRNA". It matches the Rfam family "Bacterial small subunit ribosomal RNA", at positions 44 to 891 of the family's 1533-position model. The record is from RNAcentral.